Molecule: long non-coding RNA, 875 nt
Filed under: Sus scrofa (pig)
Lineage: Eukaryota; Metazoa; Chordata; Mammalia; Artiodactyla; Suidae
Description: lncRNA (ENSSSCG00060037038.1)
Source: RNAcentral
AGUAUUAAUCUCUAAAUUGAUUUCUAAAACUUAAUUUCUAAAAUUUCUGGUUGCUGUGAUAACUGGUGGGGAGGGCCCCAAGAAAAUUCCUUGGCUUUAAGUUUUUAUCUAUUUGGCGCCACGCAAUUUAUUGUAUACUUCUUUCUUUUCAGUGAAAAACUUAAUAUUAUGUGGUAUACAUACAUCCUCAGAAUGUCUUUCCAGAUCACAAUUCUUCCCUCAAUUUGCCUAUUUCUGCAUAAAUAAAAUUUUUUUUUUUUUGACUGCACUUUGUAUGGGUGACAUGAAGUACUUGCAUUUUCCAUUAUGCUUCUCGGUCAUUAAAUUUAGUUAUAUUUUUAUGCUCAGUGGUAUCAUUUUUUAAAAAGACUUUCUUUACAUGUGUACCCCUCUCCCAUUGUCGACAUCCCCAUCAACAUGCUACAUUUGCUAUAACUAAUGAACUGCACUGACACAUCAUUAUCAUCCAGAGUCCAUACUGUACCUUAGGGUCCACUCUUGAUGUGCAUUCAAUGGGUUUUGCCACAUCUGUAAUGAUGUGUAUCUACCAUUAUAGUAUCAUACAGAUUAGUUUCAUUGUUCUAAAAAUCCCUAUGCUCUGCUUAGUCAUCCUUCCCUUCCCUCUAACCCUAAGUAACCACUGAUCUUUUUACUGCCUCACAGUUCAGCUUUUUAUGGAAUGACAUAUAGUUGGAAUCAUACAGUAUUUAGCCUUUACAAAUUGGCUUUUUUUAACUGAGUAAUACGCAUUUAAAUUUCCUCCAUGUCUUUUCAUAGCUUGAGAGCUCAUUUCCUUUUAGCAUUGAAUAAUACUCCAUUGUCUGGAUGUACCACAGUCCACUCACUGAAGAGGUUGCUAGGUUGCUUCUAAAUUU